Molecule: ribosomal RNA, 292 nt
Filed under: uncultured bacterium
Lineage: Bacteria
Description: partial 16S ribosomal RNA
Source: RNAcentral
GGACUACUAGGGUUUCUAAUCCUGUUUGCUCCCCUAGCUUUCGCAGCUCAGCGUCAGUGAUGGCCCAGUAACCUGCCUUCGCCAUAGGUAUUCCUCCCGAUAUCUACGCAUUUCACCGCUACACCGGGAAUUCCAGUUACCCCUACCACACUCAAGUCAGACAGUAUUCCUUGGCCUCUCCCAGUUAAGCCGGGAGCUUUCACAAGAAACUUAUCCAACCGCCUACCUGCGCUUUACGCCUAGUGAUUCCGAGUAACGCUUGCCACCUACGUAUUACCGCGGCUGCUGGCAC